AUGGAUCCCCUUCCCCUACACACAAUCAUCUGGCUUGUUUGUUGGUCAUUUUGGUUAUUCCCGUUCUGUGCAUCAUCCGGCAGCCACCUUCUUCCCGACAAGCCGCUUUCUGUUGGAAGCACCAUCACCUCCGAUGACGGCACUUUUGCCCUGGGAUUCUUCUCCCUGUCCAGCUCCAGCACAAAACAUUACUACGUCGGCAUAUGGUACAAGAACAUACCCGAAGACAACUUUGUGUGGGUUGCCAACCGUGCUAUGCCCAUAACUGAUCCUUCUUCUGCAACACUCGCGUUCACAAGCGGAUCCAAUCUCGCCUUGUCAGACACCAAAGAUACGCUUCUCUGGACGACAAACAUCAGCGCUGCAGGAAAUUCAUCGUCAGAGGCAACUGGUGGAAAAGCCAUGCUUGAUAACAAUGGGAAUUUUAUCCUUCAGUCAUCACAUGGCACCAUCAUAUGGCAAAGCUUCGAUUACCCGACCGACACUCUCCUUCCACGUAUGAACCUCAGGAUCACCCACAAGACGCAUGCACUACAACGGCUCAUCUCUUGGAGAAGCCCCCAAGACCCGUCCCCAGGCAACUUCUCAUAUGGUGCAGACCCUGAUGAGUUUCGACAGCGUUUUAUAUGGAAUGGCUCAACCCCAUACAUGCGAGGUUCGAUAUGGAACAACAAUUUGGUAGUUGGACAGUAUGUCGAGAGUAUCAAGUCCACAAUUUACUAUAGACUGCAACCUAUUGAUGAUGAGGUCUACGCUUCCUUUGGACUGCCGCCACCAAGUGUCGCAUUACUGCAAAUGAAGAUUGACUACUCAGGCAAGAUAAAAACACGAGUCUGGAAUAGCAACAAGUCCAAAUGGACUGACCUGUGGUCAGGACCUAACCACGAAUGCAACAAAUUUGGUUAUUGUGGUCCAUUUGGUUACUGCGACAACACACUGCCUAUUGUGACAUGCAAGUGUCUUGAUGGCUUUGAGCCAAACAACAAACAAGACUGGACGGCCAGCAGGUUUUCACAGGGAUGUCACCGAAUGGAAGCACUUACAUGUGGUCAAGGGGAUGGCUUCUUAAAUAUGUCAACCAUGAAGGUUCCCAGCCAGUUCUUGUAUGUCAAGAAUAGAAGCUUAGAUGAAUGCAUAGCAGAAUGCACCAGCAACUGCUCCUGCACGGCCUUUACUUACACCAAUAUGAGCAUUGAUGCUAUCAAUGGGGAUGAAACUAGGUGCCUAUUAUGGACCAGAGAUUUGAUCGACAUGGAGAAGCUCAUUGGACAAGGGGAAACCCUCUAUAUCCGAGUUAACGGAUUGAGUGGUACAGUUUACUGUUUCUGCUUCUCUGCUUGUGCUGUUAGAUAUACUCCUCUAUUUGCGGGUCCAGUGGAGCUCCAGUAA
This 1389-nucleotide ribosomal RNA is filed under the name Triticum aestivum (bread wheat). RNAcentral describes it as "partial small subunit ribosomal RNA". Lineage: Eukaryota; Viridiplantae; Streptophyta; Magnoliopsida; Poales; Poaceae. The record is from RNAcentral.